Triticum aestivum (bread wheat) is the source of this 115-nucleotide non-coding RNA. Lineage: Eukaryota; Viridiplantae; Streptophyta; Magnoliopsida; Poales; Poaceae. The record is from Rfam.
AUAAUACUCCCUCCGUCCAGAAUUACUUGUCAUCAAAAUGGAUGUGUCUAGAACUAAAAUACAUCUAGAUACAUCCAUUUCAAUGACAAGUAUUUUCGGACGGAGGGAGUAGUAG